RNAcentral lists this unclassified non-coding RNA (158 nucleotides) under soil metagenome. RNAcentral describes it as "partial internal transcribed spacer 1". The record is from RNAcentral.
CAAUAAGUGUUCAAUGGCACUUUAAAAUCCAUUACCCACCUUGUGUGCAAUGUAAGGAGGAGGGGGUUUGUCAGACUUCUUGGUCUGGUUUCCCCUCUUUCAUUAUACAUACCAAUCUUCUCUUGUUGUCUACUUUUUGAGUAUAAAAAACUCGAAUA